This 205-nucleotide ribosomal RNA is filed under the name uncultured bacterium. RNAcentral's name for it is "partial 16S ribosomal RNA". It matches the Rfam family "Bacterial small subunit ribosomal RNA", at positions 568 to 773 of the family's 1533-position model. The record is from RNAcentral.
CGCGCAGGCGGCUGGUCAAGUCCGAUGUGAAAUCUCCCGGCUUAACUGGGAAACUGCAUCGGAAACUGAUCGGCUUGAAGGUGGGAGAGGGUAGUGGAAUUCCCGGUGUAGUGGUGAAAUGCGUAGAUAUCGGGAGGAACACCAGUGGCGAAGGCGACUACCUGGCCCAUUCUUGACGCUGAGGCGCGAAAGCUAGGGAGCAACG